AAUCUUGCGCAAUGGGCGAAAGCCUGACGCAGCCAUGCCGCGUGAAUGAUGAAGGUCUNAGGAUUNUNAAAUUCUUUCACCGGGGNCGAUAAUGACGGUACCCGGAGAAGUAGCCCCGGCUAACUUCGUGCCAGCAGCCGCGGUAAUACGAAGGGGGCUAGCGUUGCUCGGAAUUACUGGGCGUAAAGGGCGCGUAGGCGGAUCGUUAAGUCAAAGGUGAAAUCCCAGGGCUCAACCCUGGAACUGCCUUUGAUACUGGCGAUCUUGAGUAUGAGAGAGGUAUGUGGAACUCCGAGUGUAGAGGUGAAAUUCGUAGAUAUUCGGAAGAACACCAGUGGCGAAGGCGACAUACUGGCUCAUUACUGACGCUGAGGCGCGGAAGCGUGGGGAGCAAACAG
This 398-nucleotide ribosomal RNA is filed under the name uncultured bacterium. RNAcentral describes it as "partial 16S ribosomal RNA". It matches the Rfam family "Bacterial small subunit ribosomal RNA", at positions 360 to 775 of the family's 1533-position model. The record is from RNAcentral.